RNAcentral lists this ribosomal RNA (1372 nucleotides) under uncultured bacterium. RNAcentral describes it as "16S ribosomal RNA". It matches the Rfam family "Bacterial small subunit ribosomal RNA", at positions 28 to 1381 of the family's 1533-position model. The record is from RNAcentral.
GAUGAACGCUGGCGGCGUGCCUAAUACAUGCAAGUCGAGCGAACGGACGAGAAGCUUGCUUCUCUGAUGUUAGCGGCGGACGGGUGAGUAACACGUGGAUAACCUACCUAUAAGACUGGGAUAACUUCGGGAAACCGGAGCUAAUACCGGAUAAUAUUUUGAACCGCAUGGUUCAAAAGUGAAAGACGGUCUUGCUGUCACUUAUAGAUGGAUCCGCGCUGCAUUAGCUAGUUGGUAAGGUAACGGCUUACCAAGGCAACGAUGCAUAGCCGACCUGAGAGGGUGAUCGGCCACACUGGAACUGAGACACGGUCCAGACUCCUACGGGAGGCAGCAGUAGGGAAUCUUCCGCAAUGGGCGAAAGCCUGACGGAGCAACGCCGCGUGAGUGAUGAAGGUCUUCGGAUCGUAAAACUCUGUUAUUAGGGAAGAACAUAUGUGUAAGUAACUGUGCACAUCUUGACGGUACCUAAUCAGAAAGCCACGGCUAACUACGUGCCAGCAGCCGCGGUAAUACGUAGGUGGCAAGCGUUAUCCGGAAUUAUUGGGCGUAAAGCGCGCGUAGGCGGUUUUUUAAGUCUGAUGUGAAAGCCCACGGCUCAACCGUGGAGGGUCAUUGGAAACUGGAAAACUUGAGUGCAGAAGAGGAAAGUGGAAUUCCAUGUGUAGCGGUGAAAUGCGCAGAGAUAUGGAGGAACACCAGUGGCGAAGGUGACUUUCUGGUCUGUAACUGACGCUGAUGUGCGAAAGCGUGGGGAUCAAACAGGAUUAGAUACCCUGGUAGUCCACGCCGUAAACGAUGAGUGCUAAGUGUUAGGGGGUUUCCGCCCCCUAGUGCUGCAGCUAACGCAUUAAGCACUCCGCCUGGGGAGUACGACCGCAAGGUUGAAACUCAAAGGAAUUGACGGGGACCCGCACAAGCGGUGGAGCAUGUGGUUUAAUUCGAAGCAACGCGAAGAACCUUACCAAAUCUUGACAUCCUUUGACAACUCUAGAGAUAGAGCCUUCCCCUUCGGGGGACAAAGUGACAGGUGGUGCAUGGUUGUCGUCAGCUCGUGUCGUGAGAUGUUGGGUUAAGUCCCGCAACGAGCGCAACCCUUAAGCUUAGUUGCCAUCAUUAAGUUGGGCACUCUAAGUUGACUGCCGGUGACAAACCGGAGGAAGGUGGGGAUGACGUCAAAUCAUCAUGCCCCUUAUGAUUUGGGCUACACACGUGCUACAAUGGACAAUACAAAGGGCAGCGAAACCGCGAGGUCAAGCAAAUCCCAUAAAGUUGUUCUCAGUUCGGAUUGUAGUCUGCAACUCGACUACAUGAAGCUGGAAUCGCUAGUAAUCGUAGAUCAGCAUGCUACGGUGAAUACGUUCCCGGGUCU